RNAcentral lists this ribosomal RNA (253 nucleotides) under uncultured bacterium. RNAcentral's name for it is "partial 16S ribosomal RNA". It matches the Rfam family "Bacterial small subunit ribosomal RNA", at positions 524 to 776 of the family's 1533-position model. The record is from RNAcentral.
UACAUGGGGUGCAAACGUUGCUCGGAAUUAUUGGGCGUAAAGCGCACGUAGGCGGUUCGUUAAGUCGGAUGUGAAAGCCCUCGGCUCAACUGAGGAAGUGCACCCGAAACUGGCGAGCUUGAGUACAAAAGAGGAUCGCGGAAUUCCCGGUGUAGAGGUGAAAUUCGUAGAUAUCGGGAGGAACACCGGUGGCGAAGGCGGCGAUCUGGGUCGAUACUGACGCUGAGGUGCGAAAGCGUGGGGAGCAAACAGG